Molecule: long non-coding RNA, 1352 nt
Organism: Pezoporus occidentalis (night parrot)
Lineage: Eukaryota; Metazoa; Chordata; Aves; Psittaciformes; Psittacidae
Exons: 4
Source: RefSeq, a predicted model, not a curated record
ACCAGGCAGCAGCUGCCCUUAAUGGUUUUAAAAGUAACUAUUUCUGGUAGAAUAGAAGGAUAUUUAAAUUAUGAUAUGUCAUGUUAUGAAAUGUCAGUGUAAGGCAGUGAAUAAUUCUAUUGAUUAAUCAUGAAAUAACAGGAAAAUAUGAAGUAAAAGAACUUCCAUAAGAUAGAAUAUAUUUUAAAAUGAAAAUUCAAAAUCCUAAAAUUGACUCUGGAAACCAGAUUUCAUUUAACUCAUUUUAACCAGCUCCUAAUUGUUGUUUUCCUUCACAUUUCCAUUUAUUGGGAAACUGCUGAAAUAUUUGGUUUUAUCCUUAGAUCAACUCCAGACUUCAAAACAUUAAAAUUUGAUGAGAAAAGAAGUUCAGAGCUUUAAUCAGCUGUAAAAUGAAUGUGUGCUGCUGGACUACAGUUGCAAGAUGAUCUUGGCAUCUGGUGAAGUCAAACUACUUUCUGUGUGUCUAGUAGAUAGCGCCCUGUGCAGUUUAAGUGAAUGGAGGGUGCUGACAAUCCCAAACCCUCUGUAUACAUGGGAAAUGAGCUGCUGAUCUGAGCAGAUAAGGGUUGUAGCUUCCAGGAUGACCACAAAAUUUGCUUAGCUUCAUCUCUGAGUGCUGGGGCCACUACCUGUCCCUGCCUGCAUAGCAGUGAGAAGACAGGAGUGUUACCUCUGCAGCCUUGGGUCCUUGUUCUCAUUUGCUUGGAAGCAAGACAGAACGAGCAAUUACUGUCAGCUGCUUCACAAUUGAAAUGAGGGACCGGCCUUCUGAACUGUUCCAGGAGAUGGAGCAGAGCAGUGCACUUUACCUUGAUGAAGAACCUUCCUGAAGUUUAUAUAUGGUCUCACAGUAGUGUGAAAGAUGACUGUAGGGAAGUUAUUUUAAAUGAGAGGAAAAAGUUUGCUUACAGCAACACGAGCCCUAUAACAGACCUGUUUAAUCCUCAGCACCUUGUCUACCGCUACUGUGAACAAGAAGAAGCAGAAAGCUGUCCACCUUGGUUGCUGCUGCUGUUGGUUUGACAGUUCUUGGCAUGACUGGCUUUCCCAGAGGAGCAGCAGCCCAACUAUUUAUACUGUGGUUGUGUCUACAGUAGCAUUCUUGAGGAAAUCUCCCAUCGUUAGACUGCUGGCAGAGACAGUAACAGUGGGAGAACUCACGCUGUCAGGGCAUUGGAGCUUUUAACCAUCAAACUGGCUAACCCUCUGGGUAUUCUUUGUGCCUCUCUAAGUAAAAAUGAAGGCAAGCAAUCCAAUUCAAGCUGAAUGCAGCUUUACUUUUCUCACCUUGUUUUCUGGGUCCACUUCACUGGUUCAGUGCACACUAGUAUAUAAGCCUUACUGAAUUC